Long non-coding RNA from Triplophysa rosa, 580 nucleotides. RefSeq lists it as uncharacterized. NCBI's taxonomy places the organism in Eukaryota, Metazoa, Chordata, Actinopteri, Cypriniformes, Nemacheilidae. The record is from RefSeq and is a predicted model, not a curated record. The transcript is spliced from 3 exons.
UGUUCUCUCCCAUCCUCCGUACGUGCAGCCAUAGAAAUCUACAUUGCAUAGAAUAAUUAAAAUACAUAAUGGUAGAAUAAGUUUAUACUUAUAAGGGAUUAUUUGGGCUAUAAAAUCUUCAACAACAGCAGGUACGGAAACUGAGAGCAAAUAAGAAGUGCUGAGAUGUUAAAAACUAGGUGUUCAGGCUCUCCAGACUCCCGCUCAGUUUGAAGAAGCUGAUCAUCUUUAGUCAUCUUUACACACACCAAAAACAAAGAGCCUAGUGACAUUGCUCAGGAAAGAUACAACAAUGCCUUGACCCACACAAGGUCGAUAAAAGAGAGGACCAUCGGACAGCUGAAACGCAGGUUUCACUGCCUGCACAGCGAGCUGCGUGUUGAGCCUCAAAGGGCUUGCAAAAUUAUUGUAGCCUGUGUUGUGCUCUUCAACAUUUCGAAGAUGUAUUAUGCCAUCGAAGAGGAGAAUGAGCACGAGGAAGAACAGGGUCCUGAAGAAGUGCAACCGAUCCAUGAAGAUUUCCAGCAGGCUGGAUAUGCUGCCUGAGAUGCCAUCGUCAAUGCAUUCUUUAAUUAGUAGC